UAUCCUAGUCUAUCAGCCUUUGGGAUGUAGUGAUCUCAGGCUGAAGCAUUUGGACCUGAGGCUACAAAAGGCCUUAGUAGGUUCCUAAGUGAGACAGCCUUAGAGGGAGGAGUCAGUUGGCUAGAGGCUGGGGCCAAAGAGCUAGAAGACUCUCUUAAAGGCCUACGGCUUUUGCAAGCUUCGAAAUUGCCCAGUCCUAGCCAGGGCACAGUGACGGGCUGCUGAGAGGCACUGAAACAGUUCUUACCCCACAGCUCUGGCAAUGGAGCAAUUUCCCUCAACCCCGAGGAAGUCCCCACCACCCCGGAACUACCCUGUUACCAAAGCCACGUAACCCCUAGUUACUGAAGUCCAAAGAGCUCUGACUGGGGUGGCACAGGCUCUGAGCAUGAGGACUCUGGCCACACUUCCUCCUAUAGUGGUCAGAGACCCAGCCAGGAUCACUUCCCAUCGUGGUUCAGUUCCUGGCACUGCAAGAGGGGAAACCCCCUGGGAGUCGUCAGCUGAUUCCCAAAGAUUUAUAGGGAUGGUGUAAGGAUGGAACUUCCCUACCAGCUGGAUCCCCUGGAGACAGAACUGCCCCAUGUAUGAGUGAUGAAGUCAAUGAAAUUAUCUUUACCCCUACAUUAAGCUCCUCCUACUUCGGGACCCUGCAACUUCCUACUCCCUCCUGGCAUCCAACUGGAGACGCCUAGCAGUUCCUCACAACUCUGUGUUGGGGAGGAGUCCUGGGGCCAGUCAUUUGGUCACCAAACAUUUAGAGAGCACUCACACUGUGCCAGGCACUGUGCCAGGCACUGUGCCAAACAGCUCUUUCUGGAGAAGAUGGAAAAUGCUUUGCAGAGAAAGUGACUUAUGAGCAAGACUUUGAAGGAAGAGCAAGAUUUGGGGCAGGUAUACUAUACAAAGCUCCAGGCCCAGAAAAGCAGCAAAACCAGACAAGGGUGCAGUGGCUGCUGCAGGUCACUGACUAAUGACCCUCCGCCUUGGCAUCAACCAAUCAGUGGAGACUAUGACUCUGAAAGCGCAGCCCUGGAAAGCUGAAGAAUAUUCUAUUAAGACCCGCCCCUGAGCUCUCUCCUAAGAUUUCUAUCUGCGGGAAAGAGAUAAACACACUCAGGUCAAAAGAAGAUGCCUGUGCCAUUCCCCCAAAGUCCCGUAGCCCCCAACCUCUAAGGGACCCCAUGAGACUUGCAAACAGGGGAGCAAUGGGCAGCGGCAGGCAGCUCAUUCCAGGCUAACCCCCUGAACCUGUCUCCAAGGCCCCCUUUUCUCUGUGUAGCCCUUCCCUUUGGCUAUCCCCAUCUCCCAUCCCCUUUUCCUCAAAUAAAGUCAAUUUUCUUUAA
This is a long non-coding RNA of Eptesicus fuscus (big brown bat), 1346 nucleotides long. RefSeq lists it as uncharacterized. Lineage: Eukaryota; Metazoa; Chordata; Mammalia; Chiroptera; Vespertilionidae. The transcript has 2 exons. The record is from RefSeq and is a predicted model, not a curated record.